Molecule: ribosomal RNA, 198 nt
Filed under: uncultured bacterium
Lineage: Bacteria
Description: partial 16S ribosomal RNA
Rfam family: Bacterial small subunit ribosomal RNA
Source: RNAcentral
ACGCUCGACACCUACGGGAAGCAGCAGUGGGGAAUAUUGCACAAUGGGGGAAACCCUGAUGCAGCGACGCCGCGUGAGCGAAGAAGUAUUUCGGUAUGUAAAGCUCUAUCAGCAGGGAAGAAACUGACGGUACCUGACUAAGAAGCACCGGCUAAAUACGUGGCAGCAGCCGCGGUAAUCUGAGCGGGCUGGCAAGGC